AGCGAACGCUGGCGGCAGGCUUAACACAUGCAAGUCGAACGGGCGUAGCAAUACGUCAGUGGCAGACGGGUGAGUAACGCGUGGGAACGUACCUUUUGGUUCGGAACAACCCAGGGAAACUUGGGCUAAUACCGGAUAAGCCCUUACGGGAAGGAUUAUCGCCGAAGAUCGGCCCGCGUCUGAUUAGCUAGUUGGUGAGGUAACGGCUCACCAAGGCGACGAUCAGUAGCUGGUCUGAGAGGAUGAUCAGCCACAUU
RNAcentral lists this ribosomal RNA (257 nucleotides) under uncultured bacterium. RNAcentral's name for it is "partial 16S ribosomal RNA". It matches the Rfam family "Bacterial small subunit ribosomal RNA", at positions 29 to 314 of the family's 1533-position model. The record is from RNAcentral.